This 664-nucleotide ribosomal RNA is filed under the name Ganoderma sp. M2 T139. RNAcentral's name for it is "eukaryotic LSU rRNA". Lineage: Eukaryota; Fungi; Basidiomycota; Agaricomycetes; Polyporales; Polyporaceae. The record is from RNAcentral.
AGAGGAAGUAAAAGUCGUAACAAGGUUUCCGUAGGUGAACCUGCGGAAGGAUCAUUAUCGAGUUUUGACUGGGUUGUAGCUGGCCUUCCGAGGCAUGUGCACGCCCUGCUCAUCCACUCUACACCUGUGCACUUACUGUGGGUUUCAAACGUCGUAAAGCGAGUCUCUUYACCGAGCUUGUAGAGCGGCGUCUGUGCCUGCGUUUAUCACAAACUCUAUAAAGUAUYAGAAUGUGUAUUGCGAUGUAACGCAUCUAUAUACAACUUUCAGCAACGGAUCUCUUGGCUCUCGCAUCGAUGAAGAACGCAGCGAAAUGCGAUAAGUAAUGUGAAUUGCAGAAUUCAGUGAAUCAUCGAAUCUUUGAACGCACCUUGCGCUCCUUGGUAUUCCGAGGAGCAUGCCUGUUUGAGUGUCAUGAAAUCUUCAACUUACAGACCUUUGCGGGUUUUGUAGGCUUGGACUUGGAGGCUUGUCGGCCGUGUUUCGGUCGGCUCCUCUUAAAUGCAUUAGCUUGAUUCCUUGCGGAUCGGCUCUCGGUGUGAUAAUGUCUACGCCGCGACCGUGAAGCGUUUUGGCGAGCUUCUAACCGUCCUUGUCUGGACRARUUUAUGACCUCUGACCUCAAAUCAGGUAGGACUACCCGCUGAACUUAAGCAUAUCAAUA